UACGAAGGGUGCAAGCGUUACUCGGAAUUACUGGGCGUAAAGCGUGCGUAGGCGGUUUGUUAAGUCCGUUGUGAAAUCCCCGGGCUCAACCUGGGAAUGGCCGUUGAAACUGGCGAACUGGAGUGUGGCAGAGGGGGGUGGAAUUCCGCGUGUAGCAGUGAAAUGCGUAGAGAUGCGGAGGAACACCGAUGGCGAAGGCAGCCCCCUGGGCUGACACUGACGCUCAGGCACGAAAGCGUGGGGAGCAAACAGG
This 253-nucleotide ribosomal RNA is filed under the name uncultured bacterium. RNAcentral describes it as "partial 16S ribosomal RNA". It matches the Rfam family "Bacterial small subunit ribosomal RNA", at positions 524 to 776 of the family's 1533-position model. The record is from RNAcentral.